Molecule: long non-coding RNA, 1765 nt
Organism: Dama dama (fallow deer)
Lineage: Eukaryota; Metazoa; Chordata; Mammalia; Artiodactyla; Cervidae
Exons: 4
Source: RefSeq, a predicted model, not a curated record
CUCUAUGGUCUGGAGGUUUUCUCGCUCCAGUGCCUUCAGGGUAGUUUGCCGAGAGGCGUCUCCGACAGGUUUACAGUGAUUUACAAAUUGUAGCGACAAACUGUAGCAGAAGCUCUUUCACACAUCGACAUUAUCGUACAUAUAUCUCACGAAAUCCUGCAAAGGAGGAGCCAGGACUCCUUGGAGAAAUGACGAUUCCAGGACUGCUGAAGGAAAUAUGCAAGAUGAGCCUGGAGUGUUGUGCCAGAAGUAAGGAAGUGCUUAAAAACCAAAACAAAAAACCCUACUGUGAUGAAGCUAUGUCAAAGAGACAAGGAAGGGGGAUAUAACUCCUCACUCCUUAACUGUGGGCUGUGUAGAGUGAUUCCUUCCAAAGAGCACAAUAUGGGAAAGCGAGGAAAGAGGAACCACACAGUGGAGAAAGCUGCCAAACACCAGCAAAGCCGAGUCAAGGCCAUGCUACACUGGCAUUUGAGAUCUUAGUUCCCCAACCAAGGAUCAGACUGGUGCCCCCUUCAGUCGGAGCAUGAAUUUUUUUUUUCCUUCGCUUCGCUAACAAAGAUUUAUUAUUUUUGUCUUUCUUUUUAAUUUAGUUAUUUUUAAUUGAAGGAUAAUUGUUGUUUACUGUGUUGGUUUCUACCAUAUAUCAACAUAAAUCAGCCAUAGGUAUACAUAUACCCACCCUCCCUCUUGAACCUUCCUUCCACCUCCCACUGGGAGCAAGAAGUCUUAACCACUGCCAUUGAAGUUUUUCUUCAUUUUUUAAAAAAAAUAUACUUAUUUAUUUAUUUGGGUGUACCAGUCUUAGUUUUGGCAUGUGGGAUCUAGUUCCCUGACCAGGGAUCAAACCUGGGCCUCCUGCACUGGGAGCAUGGAGUCUUAGCCGCUGGACCCAGGGAGGCCCCAAUUUUUUUUUUCUUUUUAUAGAUCUUAAACUUUUCUAAAAAAUAAAGUCUAUUUGAAAAAAAAAAAAAACGCAAGCCAAGAUCACCACAAGAUCAACUCCAUGAAAACAGAGCCUCAGUUGUCCACCUUUGCAUCCCAGGACUGAGCACAGAGCCUAGUGUGACAGUGCUAAUGGAUACAUGUUGCGUAGGGAGAUGGUACCUUGCAUGGUAUAAUGUUGAUGAUGAGUUUUUAAGGGGACUUUUAUUUGUCUGGGCUUCUCUGCAUUUCAAGGUCAAUCCACUUAUGUUAGAACUAAAAAAGGCUUUAAUAUAGCCCCAAGUGGAAACUGAGGUCCAGAGAGGUCCAGGUACUUGCCCAAGGUCAUAGAGCUAAUGAAUGACUUCCAGACCAGUGCUCUUUCUACUGUGUCACAAGAUCUGAGCUGUUUCCUCAGCUGCAAAAUGAGUAUACCAUAACUUUUAAGGUUCUUAAAAAACGAAAGUGUUAGUCACUCAGUCAUGUCCAACUUUUUGUGAUCCCAUGGACUGUAUGUAGCCCGCCAGGCUCCUCUGUUCGUGGAAUUUUCCAGGUAAGAAUACUGGCAUGGGUAGCCAUUCCCUUCUCCAGGAAAUCUUCCAGACCCAGGGAUCAAACCUGGGUCUCCUGCAUUGGAGGCAGAUUAUUUACCGUCUGAGCCACCAGAGAAGCUUAAAUAACUUCUAUGAAGUGCCUAGUGAGCAUUUCUAAAUGAUGGUUAUUAUUGUUGAGAUGAUGAUACCUGAUUUCAAUAUCUCUUGAUGCUUUAUCAGUCCUAUUUUCUGUUCUCCCACACUCAGGGAACUACAACAGAUUUGUUUUCUACUUUUACCUUAAAAAU